UAAAGAAGCAGUGAAAAUACUUUAAAUAAAGUUGUAGGAAAAAAAAAGUUUAUGCACACUUUUUUCCUUUUCAGAAGCUAAAAAGCAGAGCAAGUAUAAAUUCUGGGCUCCUAAAUCAAAUUUCAGAGACUUCAUUGCAUCAAAAUGGGCUUAUUUGCUCCCUGAUGUCUGUUUGUCCUUUACUAUAGGGGCUCCCAAACACACCAAAUGCUAGCGGAGCUCCAGGUCUACUUUGGAGGCUGGAGACUACUUUGUUCACUGGCAUUUGACUAGGACCCUGAGGUCACAGCUUGCUUUUAUGAUGUGGAGACAAUGACUCUAAGUGAUGAAUGGAGAGCUUGCUAAUUGAACUUGAAGCAUUAAAUGUUCUCCUGAAAGCACUCAACCUAAUGAGGUAACAAAAGCUCCAGAGGACAAAAAUUAAGCAAAGCAAGUUAGUUCUUGAAUGAAACUCUUGAAACCCCAAUUUGAGACAAUAAAGAAGAAGGAAAAGGAAAAAAAAUUAGAAAAAGGAAAAAUGACAGAAUAUGAGGGUCCUCAAUCAUAAAAGGCUGCAUUCCACUGCUGUCGGUGAGAGGUGACGGUGAUCUGGACUGGAGCUGGGGAGGUGGAAAUGGAAAGAAGCAAUCUGAUCUCAGAUAUAUUGUGGAGGAAUUUCCAAUAGGACUAGCUGAAGGUCUGGAUAUAGGAAGUAAGAGAGAAAGAAGCAGGAACCAAGGAAGAAAACUUCUAGGUCUCUAACU
RNAcentral lists this long non-coding RNA (743 nucleotides) under Suricata suricatta (meerkat). Its description in RNAcentral is "lncRNA (ENSSSUG00005003589.1)". Lineage: Eukaryota; Metazoa; Chordata; Mammalia; Carnivora; Herpestidae. The record is from RNAcentral.